RNAcentral lists this long non-coding RNA (255 nucleotides) under Homo sapiens (human). RNAcentral describes it as "non-protein coding lnc-SATB2-4:1". The record is from RNAcentral. Lineage: Eukaryota; Metazoa; Chordata; Mammalia; Primates; Hominidae.
GUGCUGGUUGUUUGUUUCUCCUCCAAAUUGACACCCACACCAUAGCACAACAGUUUUAUGUGCUCUGCUAGGCAAAGAAUGACAUGGAGUUAUUGCCUCUCUGUCUGGGCACAAUGUGUCUCAAUGUGCUCAGUGGGGGUGUUUUUGAGCCAUCAUGAGCCAGGAAAAAGACUUUCACAAGGUAAUGUCAUCACUUAAGGCAAGGACCAGCCAUUUACAUUUCUUUUGAGGUGGAAUGUCAUCAGUUAAGGCGGG